GGUUAAGCGACUAAGCGUACACGGUGGAUGCCCUGGCAGUCAGAGGCGAUGAAGGACGUGCUAAUCUGCGAUAAGCGUCGGUGAGGUGAUAUGAACCGUUAUAACCGGCGAUUUCCGAAUGGGGAAACCCAGUGUGUUUCGACACACUAUCAUUAACUGAAUCCAUAGGUUAAUGAGGCGAACCGGGGGAACUGAAACAUCUAAGUACCCCGAGGAAAAGAAAUCAACCGAGAUUCCCCCAGUAGCGGCGAGCGAACGGGGAGGAGCCCAGAGCCUGAAUCAGUGUGUGUGUUAGUGGAAGCGUCUGGAAAGGCGUGCGAUACAGGGUGACAGCCCCGUACACAAAAAUGCACAUAUUGUGAGCUCGAUGAGUAGGGCGGGACACGUGGUAUCCUGUCUGAAUAUGGGGGGACCAUCCUCCAAGGCUAAAUACUCCUGACUGACCGAUAGUGAACCAGUACCGUGAGGGAAAGGCGAAAAGAACCCCGGCGAGGGGAGUGAAAAAGAACCUGAAACCGUGUACGUACAAGCAGUGGGAGCCUCUU
This 545-nucleotide ribosomal RNA is filed under the name Escherichia coli. RNAcentral's name for it is "partial 23S ribosomal RNA". It matches the Rfam family "Bacterial large subunit ribosomal RNA", at positions 1 to 585 of the family's 2925-position model. The record is from RNAcentral. Lineage: Bacteria; Pseudomonadati; Pseudomonadota; Gammaproteobacteria; Enterobacterales; Enterobacteriaceae.